CACGGAGUUAGCCGGGGCUUCUUCGGGGGGUACCGUCUGUAUCUUCCCCCCCAAAAGGAGUUUACAACCCGAAGGCCGUCGUCCUCCACGCGGCGUUGCUCCCUCAGGCUCUCGCCCAUUGGGGAAAAUUCCUUG
This 135-nucleotide ribosomal RNA is filed under the name uncultured bacterium. RNAcentral's name for it is "partial 16S ribosomal RNA". The record is from RNAcentral.